CCUACGGGUGGCUGCAGUCGAGAAUCAUUCACAAUGGGGGAAACUCUGAUGGUGCGACGCCGCGUGGGGGAAUGAAGGUCUUCGGAUUGUAAACCCCUGUCAUGUGGGAGCAAAUUAGAAAGAGAGUACCACAAGAGGAAGAGACGGCUAACUCUGUGCCAGCAGCCGCGGUAAUACAGAGGUCUCAAGCGUUGUUCGGAAUCACUGGGCGUAAAGCGUGCGUAGGCUGUUUCGUAAGUCGUGGGUGAAAGGCGCGGGCUCAACGCGCGGACGGCACAUGAUACUGCGGAACUAGAGAGAUGGUGCGGGAAGCGGAAUGUACGGUGUAGCGGUGAAAUGCGUAGAGAUCG
Molecule: ribosomal RNA, 350 nt
Filed under: uncultured bacterium
Lineage: Bacteria
Description: partial 16S ribosomal RNA
Rfam family: Bacterial small subunit ribosomal RNA
Source: RNAcentral